Molecule: ribosomal RNA, 253 nt
Filed under: uncultured bacterium
Lineage: Bacteria
Description: partial 16S ribosomal RNA
Rfam family: Bacterial small subunit ribosomal RNA
Source: RNAcentral
UACAGAGGUCUCAAGCGUUGUUCGGAUUCAUUGGGCGUAAAGGGUGCGUAGGCGGCCUGCUAAGUCGAACGUGAAAUCCCCGGGCUCAACCCGGGAACUGCGUCCGAUACUGGCAGGCUUGAAUCCGGGAGAGGGAUGCGGAAUUCCAGGUGUAGCGGUGAAAUGCGUAGAUAUCUGGAGGAACACCGGUGGCGAAGGCGGCAUCCUGGACCGGCAUUGACGCUGAGGCGCGAAAGCCAGGGGAGCAAACGGG